UCCGCUCAAACCAACCAAAGAAGAAAUGAUUUAAGUACAACACAAGCAAACAUAAUAGCAAGUCUAUAGCAUCCACAUGGGGCAAUAACUAAAAGAAUUGAAUCAAGAAAGAAUGAGAAAAUUCAUCAUAUUCCAACCCCCUAACCAUGUCCAAGCAACAUUAUUCAAAUCUUCAUUUUGCUUUUCGACUUGGUCUAUAAAAACAUGAUAGUAUGAGAACUAUCAUUCAGGUUGGUUAAACUAAGCAUCAGAGUUAAUGACAACAGGCUGAUGUUGGAGACUCCAAAGCAUACUACAUAAUCAGGUUACUUACAAGGAGAAAUAGUCAUGAAGCAUUUGAAUAUUUUCUUGACAAAUGGUCUGCAUAUUCAGAUACUUACAUGACUUGAAUUUCAAACAGCGAAAAAAGGACUUAUCUAACUCAAAUUAUGAAGUGAAUAGAACAAAAUAUUUACCCUACGAAUUCCAGGUCGUCUUCUCUCCGCUGAGAUGUCUAGUGUCUUCCACAUACAGGAUGAUGAGAUACUAUGUAACCUGAGGAAAGAUUGCCUGCAACUCCCCCCUUCAAAUACAUCAGACAACAUAAAUCUUGAGCGCCACUCUGCUGAAUUUAGCAUCUAUAUUCUUGUUCUUUUGUUGUACACGAGAUUUAACUCAUAAAAUGGAGAUGCAAGUAAAACAUUAGGAUGACUGUGUUGUUUCAAUCACCAUACACAAAUUAACAAAUAGAUAAAUAAAUAAAAGAUUUAAAAAUCACCAUUCUUUGAGCAGGCACUAUUUCAGGAACAUCGAUUUUAGUUAACAGGUGACAUAUAUUCACAAAGGUUGUCGCCGUCUUUUGAGAAUUUAGGACCAGAUGCUCUGCUACAAUCAGUAUUAAUGAACUUCUGUCCUUAAGUACAUACGCCAAUGUAGACACAUAAUUAUAUCUAUGUAUGUUCAAUAAGCACAAAUGAGAUUUUGAAAAACAACACAACUUUACCAAUCAUCAUAAUGUACAUGUCUUUACAAACAGUAGAAGUCCAAGUCAUAAAAGAAAAGGAUAGUCGACAUUACAUAUUCAUUACCGAAUGCCGACAAUACCAGUCAGGAAGUUAAUUGAUUCAUUCUCCCACUUACAAUGUGGCAGUCUCCUCAAGAAAUGACAUAAUCUAUGAAACGUGUAGAAUUUAAUAGGACAGGCACCCAAUCAGUAGGCACACAUAGAAACCAAAUCUUCAACAAGGCUGAGAGUUCCACCUUGUGGGGAUUCUUAACUAUAGCAAUUAAUUCAAAAUUUCAUGACGCUUUUUUAGAAAGAAAGAACUGUAUAAAGCCAGCGGUAGAUGUUCAUAAAUAAAUAAAACUAGUUUCCAAAGCUGAGAUGUUCAAGUGGAUGUUCAUACAUAGAACAUAAAUAAAUAAAACUAGUUUCCAAAGCUGAGAUGUCAAUGAGAUGACCUGAAAUAAUCCAACAAUGAAUGGAUCAUCUUAGCAACCAACUUAAUUUGGAUCCUCUCCUAAAUAAAUUUAACGUAAAAGAAUUUAAUGAAGAUAUUGCUCAACUUAAUCACCUUUGUUUGAUCAAUGUCCCGGUGCAUUUAGGGUCUGAUUCAGGCGAAAGAUAAGAAAUUACAGAUAUGAGUGGCAUUUUUCUUUGACUAUUUUUCAGAUUUUGCACAUUUAUGUAAAGCUUAUGCUUAGUGAAUUCAGGUUGAUACCCUACUUCGUCUUUGUUUCUCCAAGAUUUUCAUUUAUUCAAAAAAAACUGUUUGAUUCAACAAAUAAUGCCUAUGCACCAAAAGCCGAACUUUUCACAAAUAUUAAGAAAAUGAUAAGCAUGAGAAAGGAAUGUACAUGAUAUUCGAAAUGCAGUAUAACUUUUUCUAAACUUAAUGACCUAAUUUGUUUAAGAGAAACACGAAAUAUAUAUUAAUCCCGCUUCGGCAAUUACCUUUGAUUAAAUUGAAAGAAAAAACUUAACUCAAAUUAGCCUUUGUCAGGAAGACGUGUUUAACAACACCGUGGCAGGUGUGGUAAAUAAUUAGAGUGCGGUGUACUGUUGCUGCACCAUACAAACAAUAUGGAGGUGAAACUUGAGUAAUAAGAUCAGCCAAGUGCAAUAACCCAGGGAAAAUUGAAAUUAGGCAAUAACUUGAGGAGCUUAUCAACACCAACAAAUCGUACCAGCUCAACAUAAUCUUGUAGUUAAAAAUUAUUUCUAGUUCCCUUUCUAACUGGAUUCAUAUCAUAAAGAGUAAAUAUUUAAAGGAUGGACAACUGUACAUACUUGUUAUGUGCUCGAAUUGUAUUUUUCAAAGUCGUGAAUUUUCAUAUGUGCUGAGACUCCUGAAGCGCACUUUUAAAGCUACAUCUGUAUUAAGAGGCAAAUGUGCUUAACUGGACCAAAGAGAUGUUGGCACGCCACUUGAGGUGCAAAUAGAAUUCAACCACCAAGCCCUGAGAUGUUUUAUAUCUGCACUAAUACUUGACCAAGAAAGAGGUCAUACAAUUGUAAAAGACCAGAAGAGGAGGAAUUAGAGCAUUCAUGAAUGGAUGACUAAGAAGACAAGUUGCAUUUGGCAAAAAACUCACUCUACUUGCAUAAAUUUAGGAGUACACAUAUAGCCACAUUUUGCGUAAAAUUUUGAUAAAAUUACCAAUGAAAUGAUACGUAUAUGUUCCUGGGAUCAACAAACUGAGACAUAUGAAACCACAAACCUCGUAGGAAGAAUUCCGGAGCCAAGUGGACAUGGGUUGGACCAACAGCUGAACUUGGUUGAUUUUUGCAAUCUAGAAAAGCAAUGGAUACUUUAGAAAGUGAAAUAUAGGUAUGGAAGAGUUUUUUUCCUAGACCAAAUAGGCCCAGAUUACCAGCCAGUUCAAUUUUAAUAACUGGAAAUCAGACAGUUUAGCAUUUGUCACGGUGUUGGUUAACAUUUUCGAAUGUACACACACAAAUUUGCCUAUCAAGCACAAUAGGAGCCAAAACCUUUCCCGCUGUCGGUUCAGAAUAACAUGCAUCACAUGGAUAAAUUAAACACAUGGAUAGAUUAAGGACAAAGAACAAAUGCCUUAGAAUUAUAGUUCAAUAUAGUCUGACUCAAUAGAUUGGAUUGCUGGAUGUGGUGCUGUAUUAACUGUAACAAAAAAUUAACUGAUGGAAGCCUUGUCUGUAGGAACUUAAUGCAGCAGAAACUGUUGAAAUUGAAACUGGAAUAUUAGAAUCAUAUCCACAAAACGAGAACAUGGAUAUACAAGAAAACAUGCACACACUUUAUCAACUGCCAAUUACGUAAGUCGUCACAACUUUAGGGUAUAUUGAUUUGGCAAGGAAUUCUGUGUUGCAUCGACUGGACUACUCGUUUGUCCAAAUACUCAACUGCUGGCCUUGCCCCCCUUUAAAAAGAUGUUUGUAUAUAUAAUUUGUCUUUUGUUUCUUGUAAAUUUUUGGUACACCCAUGAGGUUCCAGUUAGUAUAGAUCGACCAUCUAUACUAACUGGAACCUCAUGUGUGUACCAAAAAUUUACAAGAAACAAAAGACAAAUUAUAUAUAGAGAACCAUGUUUUUGUACAGGUUCUCUACUUUUUGUAUACCACUUCUUUACCUAGAGAUUUCCAACUACAUUGAUACAAUUAUUAUCUUAAAGCUAUUUAAACAACAUACUGCUAGUUUUGAAAUUACAUGCUUGCAACGAGACCUACUAGACAAUAUGAACUACAAUUCGAUACGCCGUGGUCUUUAAGCUAAGCCAAAGCAAGAAUUAUUUAUACUGCCCGACAAAUUGGGAACUAGUGGCAGAAGACAUUGCGACAAGAAUCAAGUAGCAAGAUAAACAUCCGAUCCAUCAAAGAGAAAGUAGCCUGUAUAUUACUGCUUUACUGGGAAUUUAAACAGUAAUUUCAUAGUAAUCCUCAUCUUCACCUCCAUCUGAAGCAUUUAAUCUUGUAUCAUAGGAUUACAAAGCUUAUUCUUUGCAAAAUGUUGAACUCACAAUUCAAUGGUCCUAGAGUCUACAUUCACAUAUCCACGAAAAGCAUAAGAGACACAAGAAUCAGCUGCUUCCUACUAAGCUUUUCUUUUUAGGUUUUUCUUCUAAAGCUGCACUCGAAGCUCUUUGACUAUUUCAAAGAGCAUAAGUGAAAUUGAGGAUUAUGAAAGAAAAUAUCAAAGAGAAGAAAACAUCAGCUGCUGUUACUAAAACUUAAGCCUCGACUAUUUCAGCACGCGUCUUUCAAGCAAAUAACAAUUUGCUAACAUACGGUGAAUUAAGGGGUAAGUUACACGAAUAUGAGUUUUGCCAAAAGGACUUGAAAAGGUUUGAAUCUGACCUUAACCUCGUGGCUUGAGGGCUCCUUAAGAGACAUGCUGAUGAUAAGCUCCAAAUCUUCCUUAAACCAAGUAGUAACCAAUGUAAACACAUGUCAUGGACAUGCAUGGUUGGGGUGGGGUAGGGUUUAAUGAUAGAGAUUCCAAAAAAGAAACUGUAGGGGAGCAAAUCGAAAUGCGACAGCUACACUCUAUUAUCAGGCUUGAAUGGGAGCCAAUUAGAUAAUAGAUUUUUGUUUGGCGAGACCAUUUUCAGUUAACACAGGAAAUUGCAAGAUAGAACAGAAGAAGCGUCGCACAUGUGUUGCAGAAGCCAACGGGCAUAGGCUUGCAAAUAAGGUUAAAAUUAUGUAAUGAUUGCUAGCUUAAAAGUAAUAUAUAAUCAUGCAAAUACAGGCAGCUAGUGACAACUUGCAGGGCUUCAGCAAUGUAAUAGUUCUAAUAAAUAAGGAGGAGUUUCAGAAGAUCAUUUGUCUAGGACCUUUAUUGAUGGCUAAGCGAGGUAACAACAACAAUUACGCCUCACUCGCACACUAGCUUAGGUCGGCUAUAUGAAUCCUAUGUAUCCGUUGCAGUCUACCACUCAAUUAUUUGUCUUUUAGGACAAAAUAGAGAUUCUCUAAAUCUUACACCUAUCCCCACACUGUUAUACAAUCUCUAAACAAACUUAAAAGACUUCAAUCAAAUAUUGGAUCUAAUACAUGUGAUUGAUAGUCUACCUCAAUCGUCACGAUGUCACACCUAAGCUUAGAGCCCGUUUGGCCAUGAAUUUUUUUUCACUUUUUUCGAAAAAAUUUUACUUUUUUUUAAAUCAGUGUUUGGCUAUAAAAUUUUUAUGAAAAUUAAUUUUGGAAUUUUUCGAAAAUUUGAAAAACUCCAAAAAACUGUUUUUCAAAAUUUUCAGUCAGAUCACUCAUAAAAAUUCAAAAACAACCCAAAAUUAUAUUUAUGUCCAAACACAACUCUAAUUUUCAAAUACCAUUUUCACUUAGAAAAGUUUUUUCCCUUUUUUCCGGAAUUUUACAAUUCUUAUGUCCAAACGCUCACUUUGUCCAAUUAAAAAUAUCUAUUACGCAUUAGCCUUAAGGUCUAGACGAAGUCUUUUAAUUUAUAACUUUCCUCUUCAAAACUCAAUGUCCAUUGUCCACCAGAACCAAAUUUGAACAAUACCAGAGCACAUGAUCUAUACAGAAGACUCUAAGUCCUCUUAACAAGCAAAGCCACUCCUCUCCCAAACCACACGAACACACAUACAUAUAUACACACAGAAACAGGCACAACCCCCUAUUUGUUCAUUUCACCUAAGUUGCUAACGCUUGUGGAAUAGAAUGCCAUAAGAAAACGCUUGAAAUAAAGGAAAUUAGAAAGUACCUUGAGCCAUAGUGCCACAGGCCACAGCCCAGCGGCAUUGGAACCGGUUGGCCAAGCGCGAGCUUGCAGUGGCGAAAGUGAAGGAGCUGCUGCUUUUUCUAAUUUUCUUUUUAAA
Molecule: long non-coding RNA, 5796 nt
Filed under: Nicotiana tabacum (common tobacco)
Lineage: Eukaryota; Viridiplantae; Streptophyta; Magnoliopsida; Solanales; Solanaceae
Description: long non-coding RNA (NTAB_LNC002653)
Source: RNAcentral